This is a non-coding RNA of Oryza sativa Japonica Group (Japanese rice), 2014 nucleotides long. Lineage: Eukaryota; Viridiplantae; Streptophyta; Magnoliopsida; Poales; Poaceae. The record is from RefSeq and is a predicted model, not a curated record.
UUGGCACCGUUAAACAUGGCAUCUCCCGGAUUCUAUCCUCGCAGCCGCGCGCACUCCCUCCCUCCCUCCCUCACCGUCCAAUUCCAUCCGCUCCUCCUCCUCCUCCUCCUCGCCGUCGCCAUGGCCGCCGCGGUGGCGGCCUCCUCCUCCUCCUCCUCCAGCAGCUGCGCCGCCGUCGGCGUAGCCACCGCCUCCCACCCCCACCGCCACCGCCAGGCCCGCUUCGUCGUCUCCCCUCCCGCGCCGGCCUCCCCCGCGGCGCUGCUCUGGCGGCGGCCGCGGCGGGUGGCUCCGACCACGUUCUGCUCCGCGCCGUCGCUCGGCCGCGUCGGGUGGCCGCGGCGGGAGGGUGCCGCCUGGCUGCUGUCGUUCCGCGCCGGCCCGGUUUCUUCCCCGUCGUCGGCGGCGGCGGGCGAUCCUUCCCAGGCGCUCUCCGCGCUGCUCCCGCUCGUCGUCGCCGCCACCGCCGUCGCCGCGCUCGGCAACCCCGCUACCUUCUCAUGGGUCUCCAAGGAGUACUACGCGCCUGCACUUGGCGGCAUCAUGCUCUCCAUUGGCAUCAAAUUAUCCAUCGACGACUUCGCGUUGGCAUUCAAGAGGCCGGUGCCUCUGACGAUCGGCUAUAUGGCGCAGUACAUUGUGAAGCCGCUGAUGGGCGUGCUGAUCGCGAGGGCCUUCGGGAUGCCGUCGGCGUUCUUUGCAGGCUUUGUUCUUACUUGCUGCGUCUCCGGCGCGCAGCUGUCGAGCUAUGCUAGCUUCCUGAGCAAAGGGGAUGUUGCAUUGAGCAUUCUGUUGACAAGCUGCUCGACGAUAUCUUCGGUGGUUGUGACACCUGUUCUCACUGGACUGCUGAUUGGUUCUGUGGUUCCUGUUGAUGGGAUCGCGAUGGCGAAAUCCAUUUUGCAGGUGGUUCUUGUUCCUGUCACACUAGGUCUUCUUCUGAAUACAUAUGCAAAAGCAGUCGUUAAUGUCAUUCAACCAGUAAUGCCAUUUGUUGCUAUGUUGUGCACAUCGCUUUGUAUUGGAAGCCCUCUUGCUAUCAACAGGAGCAAGAUCUUAUCUUCAGAAGGAUUCCUGUUACUUCUCCCCAUAGUGACUUUCCACAUUGCUGCCUUCAUUGUGGGUUACUGGAUUUCCAAGUUGCCUAUGUUGAGGCAAGAAGAGCCCGUUUGCAGAACUAUUUCUGUAUGUACCGGCAUGCAGAGCUCCACCCUCGCUGGACUUCUUGCUACACAAUUUCUUGGAAGUAGCCAGGCAGUUCCUGCAGCAUGCUCAGUUGUUAUCAUGGCCAUAUUUGGUUUGACUCUAGCAUCAUACUGGGGAAAUGGUUUGCGAAUCAGAGAUAUCGGUUCGAGAUUUGUUCCACAAGCUUCCGCAGGUGUGAGCUCAUGAUAAAGCUUUUGGGGUGCAGCAUUUAGAUUCGUUCAUGGGCUCCCCCGUCAAGUUCCAGAAUUCCUGAGCAAUUGGAGGCUGUAGUACACAGAAGAUGCCGUGCUCUUGCUGUGUAAAUCCUCCAUUAGCAACAAGAGAUCAGGAACUGCAAGCUGUGCAUUUUUGAAGAUAACCAGCAAUAAGAACAGCCUUACUUAGAUCGAAGGAUGCUGGGAUGGCACAGCAGUCAAAUUAUACCUUAGUACCAUACAAUAUACUGUAGAUUUCAGGAUACUAUGCGGUGUACCUAGCAAGCAGAGUCGCACUCUGCAGUGUUCUCAGUUGUGAGUGCCACAAGGUUGCGGGCAGAGUCCAAUUACGAUUGGCCGAUUUGAUUGCCAUUCUACAUCUAGAAGAUGUCACAGUUGUUUCACAUGGAUCUCUUUCUCUGGUCCAUUUCUUUGUCGUUUUUGGUACACAUGAGCAGUCCAUUUCUUCAGUUUGUCGCUGCAUGUAGCCAUGUAGAUCGCGUGGGUAGUGACAGCAACGGCCAGAAAGGAAGAUUUGAGAUAUUUUUCAGCUGUCUUGUAGAAUUUGUAGGAUCUCAUGAUAACCUUCAAUAAAGAGUAUUUCUUCCAUGUUA